UCACUUCGGCUGAUGGUUCCCAAGGAGAGCAGUUGGAGCACCUAAGAGCUUGCUGUAUUUGGGGAUACACAAGCAAUUACAAUCCAGCAACAUGGAAGGAUGAUGGCGAAGGCAAGAAGAAUUCAAGACAACUCCUACAAUCUAUAAAUAUGCAGUAACCAUUCUAUACCAUUUCCAAAAAGGGAAGAUUUUUUUCCAUUAUUUCACAAUGUUUUUGUUGAUGUUCAUCCAUC
Molecule: long non-coding RNA, 233 nt
Organism: Dama dama (fallow deer)
Lineage: Eukaryota; Metazoa; Chordata; Mammalia; Artiodactyla; Cervidae
Exons: 3
Source: RefSeq, a predicted model, not a curated record